Molecule: long non-coding RNA, 389 nt
Organism: Athalia rosae (coleseed sawfly)
Lineage: Eukaryota; Metazoa; Arthropoda; Insecta; Hymenoptera; Athaliidae
Exons: 2
Source: RefSeq, a predicted model, not a curated record
UACAAAAAAUAUUUAGUCAGAUAUUCGGAUCCAACUGACCUUUCACGGUCAAGGUGGCGACGGUCUCCGCCGAGCCAACCGAAUUGAAUGCCUUGCACACGAACUGUGCCGAAUCCUCGGCGAAAGUUUCUUCGAUGAUAACUUCGGGGACGGGAAAUCCGAUCAGUCGACAUUCGAAGGUCAGUCUCUCGCCUUCCUGGAUCGUUGCGUUGUUCAAAGGAACUAUGAACUGUGGUGGGAUCGGUUCCGGAACGUCUUCUUCGACCUUCGGUACCUUUGCUGGACUAGUUUCUCUUUGCGGGGUUGCGGCCCGAGGGGGCAAAGGUAUGGCUUGCUGAAGUUCGGUCUGAAAAAAUCCGAACGAAAAAAUGAAUCCUCAUUCGCAUAGA